Molecule: ribosomal RNA, 536 nt
Filed under: Nakazawaea ernobii
Lineage: Eukaryota; Fungi; Ascomycota; Pichiomycetes; Alaninales; Pachysolenaceae
Description: eukaryotic LSU rRNA
Rfam family: Eukaryotic large subunit ribosomal RNA
Source: RNAcentral
UCUAAUAAGCUGGUAACAAACAGGGCACCUCUUGCCUAGUUACUAGUAGGAACAUGAAGGCACGUGUCUUUGGAGUUGGCCCCCGAGGUAUGUUCCUUGGAACAGGACGUCACAGAGGGUGAGAAUCCCGUGCGAUGGGGAGACCAAUUCUAUGUAAAGUUCCUUCGAAGAGUCGAGUUGUUUGGGAAUGCAGCUCUAAGUGGGUGGUAAAUUCCAUCUAAAGCUAAAUAUUGGCGAGAGACCGAUAGCGAACAAGUACAGUGAUGGAAAGAUGAAAAGAACUUUGAAAAGAGAGUGAAAAAGUACGUGAAAUUGUUGAAAGGGAAGGGCUUUUGAUCAGACUUGGUGUUUAGUACUCUCUACUCCUUGUGGGUGGGGCUCUUGCUUUAUACUGGGCCAGCAUCGGUUUGGAUGGUAGGAUAAUAGCAUUGGAAUGUGGCUUCAUUCGUGAAGUGUUAUAGCCCUUGUUGAUACUACCUAUCUAGACCGAGGACUGCGNUCUUUUGACUAGGAUGCUGGCGUAAUGAUUAAAAGCC